RNAcentral lists this ribosomal RNA (492 nucleotides) under uncultured bacterium. RNAcentral describes it as "partial 16S ribosomal RNA". It matches the Rfam family "Bacterial small subunit ribosomal RNA", at positions 30 to 507 of the family's 1533-position model. The record is from RNAcentral.
AUUGAACGCUGGCGGCAUGCUUUACACAUGCAAGUCGAACGGUAACAGGCCUUCGGGUGCUGACGAGUGGCGAACGGGUGAGUAAUGCAUCGGAACGUGCCCAGAGGUGGGGGAUAACGCAGCGCAAGCUGUGCUAAUACCGCAUGUGAUCUGAGGAUGAAAGCGGGGGACCAGGCAGCAAUGUUUGGCCUCGCGCCUUUGGAGCGGCCGAUGUCAGAUUAGGUAGUUGGUGGGGUAAAGGCCUACCAAGCCGACGAUCUGUAGCUGGUCUGAGAGGACGAUCAGCCACACUGGGACUGAGACACGGCCCAGACUCCUACGGGAGGCAGCAGUGGGGAAUUUUGGACAAUGGGCGCAAGCCUGAUCCAGCAAUGCCGCGUGCGGGAAGAAGGCCUUCGGGUUGUAAACCGCUUUUGUACGGAACGAAAAGGCUCUGGCUAAUACCUGGGGCUGAUGACGGUACCGUAAGAAUAAGCACCGGCUAACUACGUG